AUGAACGCUGGCGGCGUGCCUAAUACAUGCCGGUCGAGCGAACGGACGAGAAGCUUGCUUCUCUGAUGUUAGCGGCGGACGGGUGAGUAACACGUGGAUAACCUACCUAUAAGACUGGGAUAACUUCGGGAAACCGGAGCUAAUACCGGAUAAUAUUUUGAACCGCAUGGUUCAAAAGUGAAAGACGGUCUUGCUGUCACUUAUAGAUGGAUCCGCGCUGCAUUAGCUAGUUGGUAAGGUAACGGCUUACCAAGGCAACGAUGCAUAGCCGACCUGAGAGGGUGAUCGGCCACACUGGAACUGAGACACGGUCCAGACUCCUACGGGAGGCAGCAGUAGGGAAUCUUCCGCAAUGGGUGAAAGCCUGACGGAGCAACGCCGCGUGAGUGAUGAAGGUCUUCGGAUCGUAAAACUCUGUUAUUAGGGAAGAACAUAUGUGUAAGUAACUGUGCACAUCUUGACGGUACCUAAUCAGAAAGCCACGGCUAACUACGUG
RNAcentral lists this ribosomal RNA (496 nucleotides) under uncultured bacterium. Its description in RNAcentral is "partial 16S ribosomal RNA". It matches the Rfam family "Bacterial small subunit ribosomal RNA", at positions 29 to 507 of the family's 1533-position model. The record is from RNAcentral.